This 253-nucleotide ribosomal RNA is filed under the name uncultured bacterium. Its description in RNAcentral is "partial 16S ribosomal RNA". It matches the Rfam family "Bacterial small subunit ribosomal RNA", at positions 524 to 776 of the family's 1533-position model. The record is from RNAcentral.
UACAGAGGUCCCAAGCGUUGUUCGGAUUCACUGGGCGUAAAGGGUGCGUAGGUGGUGAGGUAAGUCGGAUGUGAAAGCUCCGAGCUCAACUCGGAAAUGGCAUUGGAAACUACCUUGCUAGAGGGUUUGAGGGGGGACUGGAAUACUUGGUGUAGCAGUGAAAUGCGUAGAUAUCGAGAGGAACACCAGUGGCGAAGGCGGCUCGCUGGAUCUUUUCUGACGCUGAGGCGCGAAAGCUAGGGGAGCAAACGGG